This 98-nucleotide transfer RNA is filed under the name Stenotrophomonas sp. RIT309. RNAcentral describes it as "tRNA-Gln". Lineage: Bacteria; Pseudomonadati; Pseudomonadota; Gammaproteobacteria; Lysobacterales; Lysobacteraceae. The record is from RNAcentral.
CGCAGGCGCAGACGGCGGCGGCCCGCAACGCCCAGCUUUGGCUUGGGCGUUUCGACAACACCGGGCGCAGUGCAGUGUUCGAUUCGCAGGUCCGCAUC